This 273-nucleotide ribosomal RNA is filed under the name Daptonema sp. 2 BT-2019. RNAcentral's name for it is "partial small subunit ribosomal RNA". It matches the Rfam family "Eukaryotic small subunit ribosomal RNA", at positions 101 to 376 of the family's 1831-position model. Lineage: Eukaryota; Metazoa; Nematoda; Chromadorea; Monhysterida; Xyalidae. The record is from RNAcentral.
UUACAACAGCCGUUGUUUCUUGGAUCUCCGCUCUACUUGGAUAACUGAGGUAAUUCUUGAGCUAAUACAUGCAGACGAGCUCUGACUUUACAGGAAGAGCGCAUUUAUUAGACCAAAAUCAAUCGGCGCAAGCCGUUUUUGGUGACUCUGAAUAACUACGCAGAUCGCUCAGGUUUUAUACCGGCGACAUGUCCUUCAAGUGUCUGCCUUAUCAACUUUCGAUGGUAGUUUCUAAGCCUACCAUGGUUGCGACGGGUAACGGAGAAUUAGGGU